Long non-coding RNA from Hemibagrus wyckioides, 699 nucleotides. RefSeq lists it as uncharacterized. The transcript has 3 exons. NCBI's taxonomy places the organism in Eukaryota, Metazoa, Chordata, Actinopteri, Siluriformes, Bagridae. The record is from RefSeq and is a predicted model, not a curated record.
CUCUACACUGAAACAGGUGAAAACUUGAGCGCACUGACUGUAACAUGUUCGAGGAGGCUGCAACCAAUGGUCACUCCAUCAACUUGGAGGAUGUGACUGUCUCCAGGACCAUCACCACUCACUCCAGUCAGGCACGUCUGUCUGCUGGACGUCUAGCUCGUAUUGACUGGAUUUCAGCUGAUUUGUUGUCUGAGAUUUGAGGGAUGUCUGAGUGCUGCUGUUUGUGAAAUAGAAGAGAGUUUAAGGACAUCCAAGACAUCAUCGGUCUACUCUGCUGCCUGAGUCAUCGGGCAUCAAGGCAGGAUACACCCUGGAUGGAGUGCUAACCCAGGGCGCUCAUACACUACAGGCAAUUUAGAGACUCCAAUCAGCCUAGAUGCAUGUCUGUCACCAAGCACAGGGAGCGGGAGCAAGAACCUAGGAUGCUGGAGGUGUGAGGCGAACAUGCUAACCACUAAGCCACUGUUCCACCUUUAAACUGCACGUCUCUAAAUUUUUACACUUUGUACUGUUGCUGCAGUGUGAAGAGUGUUUAAAUAGCUUCUCAAACAAUACAGCAAAUUUACACCAGAAAACAGCUCAGUGCCUUAAAUCUGGACAUUUAUCAAAUCUGGACGUUUUGCAGGUAUGUAAGGUGUGUAAGUGACUGUACCUGUAUUCCAGGUGUCUCUGCUCUAUCCGCAAGCCAGCGUGCCGUGU